GACGAACGCUGGCGGCGUGCUUAACACAUGCAAGUCGAACGAAGAGCGAUGGAUGCUUGCUUCUAUCAAUCUUAGUGGCGAACGUGUGAGUAACGCGUAAUCAACCUGCUCUUCAGAGGGGGACAACAGUUGGAAACGACAGCUCAUACCGCAUACGAUCUAACCUCGGCAUCGAGGAAAGAUGAAAGGUGGCCUCUAUGUAUAAGCUAUCACUGAAGGAGGGGAGUGCGUCUGAUUAGCUAGCUGGGGGGGUAACGGCCCGCCAAGGCGAUGAUCAGGAGACGGGCUGAGGGGAUGGACGGCCACAUUGGGACUGGGACACGGCCCAGACUCCUACGGGGGGCAGCAGGGGGGAAACUUCCGAAAUGGACGAAAGGCUGACGGAGGAACGCCGCGGGGGGGAUGACGGCCUUCGGGUUGUAAAGGUCGGUUAAUCGGGACGAAAGGCCUUCUUGCGAAUAGUGAGAAGGAUUGACGGUACCGGAAGAGAAAGCCACGGCUAACUACGUG
Molecule: ribosomal RNA, 510 nt
Filed under: uncultured bacterium
Lineage: Bacteria
Description: partial 16S ribosomal RNA
Rfam family: Bacterial small subunit ribosomal RNA
Source: RNAcentral